CCCCACUCUGAAUACAAGGACAGAUGGUCACCAAUUUGUUGAAUGCAUCAAGAUAGUAUCUAGUUUGCAGGCUGAUCCAAUGCAACCACUCAUGUUUCAACCCAACGGAGAUCAAUGGUGCCAUAGCUACAUGUAUGUAGUAUUGAAAUAUUUGAUAUGAGGGAGGUGAAUGAGUCAUUUUUGGUUGUUGCAUCAUUGACUUUUGGGUAAUUGUAGUCAUGAUUUCAGGUCUUUGGUCCUUAGUUAAGCACCCAUUCAGUCUCUUUUGAGUAUUUUUGAAUGAGCCCUUUGGUGAGGUUUGUUGCAUUUCAAAACACACUGAUCACAAUGAUUGGCUAGUUGGGUCAAAUGGCCAGAAGUCUAAAAGUCUAAAACCCUCAACUUGAAAAUGGCAGUUGGAACUAAUGGAAAUAAGAGUUUGGGUACUAAGGCAUUAAUAACUAAAUUAUAUGGCUAGCAAUACAAAUUAUCUUCCAGAGUGACCAUAAAACGAAUGCUCUCCUUGUUCUGUGAUCCAGAGCUCCGAAAGUCAAAUGUAGUUUAUAAUGGUUCAAUCAGUAGUAAGGCAGGUUGGAAUGGCUAGCUCGCUUUAACUUCAUACAGUAAGGCUGGUCAGAAUGGCUAGCUCGCUUUAACUUCAUACAGUAAGGCUGGUUGGAAUGGCUAGCUCGCUUUAACUUCAUACAGUAAGGCUGGUUGGAAUGGCUAGCUCGCUUUCACUUCAUACAGUAAGGCUGGUUGGAAUGGCUAGCUCGCUGUAACUUCAUACAGUAAGGCUGGUCAGAAUGGCUAGCUUGCUUUAACUUCAUACAGUAAGGCUGGUCAGAAUGGCUAGCUCGCUUUAACUUCAUACAGUAAGGCUGGUUGGAAUGGCUAGCUCGCUUUUACUUCAUACAGUAAGGCUGGUCAGAAUGGCUAGCUCGCUUUAACUUCAUACAGUAAGGCUGGUCGGAAUGGCUAGCUCGCUGUAACUUCAUACAGUAAGGCUGGUCUGAAUGGCUAGCUCGCUUUAACUUCAUACAGUAAGGCUGGUCGGAAUGGCUAGCUCGCUGUAACUUCAUACAGUAAGGCUGGUCUGAAUGGCUAGCUCGCUUUAACUUCAUACAGUAAGGCUGGUCUGAAUGGCUAGCUCGCUUUAACUUCAUACAGUAAGGCUGGUCUGAAUGGCUAGCUCGCCUUAACUUCAUACAGUAAGGCUGGUCUGAAUGGCUAGCUCGCUUUAACUUCAUACAGUAAGGCUGGUCAGAAUGGCUAGCUCGCUUUAACUUCAUACAGUAAGGCUGGUCUGAAUGGCUAGCUCGCCUUAACUUCAUACAGUAAGGCUGGUCAGAAUGGCUAGCUCGCUUUAACUUCAUACAGUAAGGCAUAAUAUAAUGAACAUAGUUUCCUAUUCUACAGGCAUUGUGGCAUACAUAAGUAUAUAAGUGUUUACAAACGUUAUCAUCUGCAUAGCAUCAAGUCUCUCUUCCUCUUUUAAUAUUAGCCACGUGCAGAAUGUCAUUCACCUAUAUUACCUUAUAUACCCUAUAAGCAAGGCACAAUAAUGCACAUUCCUCACACUUGCUGUUUAACCAAUGGUCACACUUUUGCAAUUAUCACCUUUCUCUCUCUCAACCAAUGGGCAUAAAUCUUGGAAUGUAUUUAUAUGUCAAAUUUACCCAUGUUUUCUUACUUGCUGCAUUACAG
This 1686-nucleotide long non-coding RNA is filed under the name Salmo salar (Atlantic salmon). RNAcentral's name for it is "lncRNA (ENSSSAG00000109947.1)". Lineage: Eukaryota; Metazoa; Chordata; Actinopteri; Salmoniformes; Salmonidae. The record is from RNAcentral.